RNAcentral lists this ribosomal RNA (495 nucleotides) under uncultured bacterium. Its description in RNAcentral is "partial 16S ribosomal RNA". It matches the Rfam family "Bacterial small subunit ribosomal RNA", at positions 30 to 507 of the family's 1533-position model. The record is from RNAcentral.
UGAACGCUGGCGGCGUGCCUAAUACAUGCAAGUCGAGCGAACGGACGAGAAGCUUGCUUCUCUGAUGUUAGCGGCGGACGGGUGAGUAACACGUGGAUAACCUACCUAUAAGACUGGGAUAACUUCGGGAAACCGGAGCUAAUACCGGAUAAUAUUUUGAACCGCAUGGUUCAAAAGUGAAAGACGGUCUUGCUGUCACUUAUAGAUGGAUCCGCGCUGCAUUAGCUAGUUGGUAAGGUAACGGCUUACCAAGGCAACGAUGCAUAGCCGACCUGAGAGGGUGAUCGGCCACACUGGAACUGAGACACGGUCCACACUCCUACGGGAGGCAGCAGUAGGGAAUCUUCCGCAAUGGGCGAAAGCCUGACGGAGCAACGCCGCGUGAGUGAUGAAGGUCUUCGGAUCGUAAAACUCUGUUAUUAGGGAAGAACAUAUGUGUAAGUAACUGUGCACAUCUUGACGGUACCUAAUCAGAAAGCCACGGCCAACUACGUG